This 253-nucleotide ribosomal RNA is filed under the name uncultured bacterium. Its description in RNAcentral is "partial 16S ribosomal RNA". It matches the Rfam family "Bacterial small subunit ribosomal RNA", at positions 524 to 776 of the family's 1533-position model. The record is from RNAcentral.
UACGUAGGGGGCAAGCGUUGUCCGGAUUUAUUGGGCGUAAAGAGCGUGUAGGCGGCCUUACAGGUCAGCUGUGAAAACUGGAGGCUCAACCUCCAGACGUCGACGGAAACCGUAUGGCUAGAGUCCGGAAGAGGAGAGUGGAAUUCCUGGUGUAGCGGUGAAAUGCGCAGAUAUCAGGAAGAACACCAAUGGCGAAGGCAGCUCUCUGGGACGGUACUGACGCUGAGACGCGAAAGCGUGGGGAGCAAACAGG